Macaca fascicularis (crab-eating macaque) is the source of this 3172-nucleotide long non-coding RNA. The record is from Ensembl. Lineage: Eukaryota; Metazoa; Chordata; Mammalia; Primates; Cercopithecidae.
UACACUUGACUUGGUACAAAUCCACUGUGGCCCAGCAAAAAGUAUAUAAACCAUACCCUACUUACUGUGUAUGGAGGACAGAACAAUCGAGAGUGCCAAUGGUAAAAAAUGAUGCUGCAGGCAUAACAAUGGGCCCCCGUGUGUCUUUUUUCUUAAGGGUAAUUAACUGUUCGGAUUCAUACCUAAAAACAGGCAUGCUACUGAAACAAGUUGCUGAUGACCUAAGACAAGGCCAACCUUGCCUGGCUGAGAGAUACCUGAGUGCGUCCAUCUUUUCAGUGACAUAGUAGUCUUCCCUCAACUUUCCACACCAGCACACUGUAUCAGGGCUGGUUCAGACCUUCAUCUUCCCACAUCUGGAUGAAACACAGUCCUCUAAGCAUCCUGUCUCUUACACUAUUAUGAGAUGAAGCUUAUCUUGUUCUCUUGCUCAAGAAUAUAACUGCUUAUGGCAUCAUAUCCAGACUCUUCAGGCUUGCAUUCAAUGCCCCACGUAACUAACUUCUUCAGCCUUUGCGAUGAGUUAAGACAACUGUGCAGUUUGAGGGAAGAGUCCUCAUGUGACUUCCCUCACUUCUGACAUCAGCUGCAAGUUUGGUGAUGCCCUGGAUCAUCCUUAUUUCAGACCAGCUGGCUACAAAUUUAGGGACUCCCACAACCACCCUCAAGUUCAAUAAUUUACUAGAAUGACUCACAGAACUCAAGGAAGUGCUGUACUUCUUAUUGUAGUUUUAUUACAGUAAAAGGGUACGAAUUAAAAUCAGCUAAGAGAGGAGACACAUGGGGCAGAAUCCAGGCGGGGUCUAGUGCCAGCUGCCAGUCAUUUUCUCCCUAUGACGUCAUGGACAACACUGCUUCCUCCUGGUCACCCUGUGCAAUGAGACACACAAAGUGUUGCCAACCAUGAAAGAUCACCUCAGCCUUUGGUGUUCAGAGAUUUAUUGGGGCCUGAUCACAUCCUGCCUGAGUGGCUGACCUUGAGUUUCCAGCCACUUCUGGAGAUUGGAGAUCAAGCUAAUAUCUUUAGUUGUUCCUCCAGAGGUCGUAAAUGACACUGCGUGGCCCUCAGGCCACAAUCACAAAUCACAUUGGUAGGCUGUCAGUAGCCAAAGCUCCCCAGCAACAAAGACUUAGGCAGGGCAUUCUAGGGGCCUAGGAACCAACUCCCAGUACCUGAGGGUAAAAGCCAGACUUCUUUUUGGUAAGGUUAAUUAUUUACUACACAGCCUUAUUUCCCAUUGCUCUUCUACAGGACAUCUCCACUCAAAUAGUCCCAUACCAUGCAGUUGUUUUUUUUUUUCACCUGUAAAUUUCUCCCUUUAUUUCUAAAAUGCAGAAACACUUUGCCUUCCAUGAGGCUCAGCUUAAGUCUUACUUACCUCUAGAAACUUUGCCCAAAGCUUUUCUAAUCACCCACUUUUCUAACUAGUUGGUAUAUGCCUUGUGUGGCUUUACAAUGUGACUGGUAUUCAUAGACUUCCCUGAGCCUUAUAUCUCUCUGAGCCUAUGUGUCCACCCAAAGUAAUUGCUUAGAAAAUGCUUAUUAUUGAUGACAAUUUUCCUUGUGUCUAAGGCAUUCAAUAAAUCUUUUGACAUGAACUGAAUUGUUUCUUCAUGAUUGUAAAUUAGGCAUCUUCGUUGGGUGUAUCUUUCUCUUUCUGAUGAUUUGGGCUUUAAUUUAGAUUUUUGGCUUUAAUUUAGAUUUUGAGUCACUAUCUAAGUGAAUUAUCAGACCCUAAAACAAUCAAAUUCAAACUGACCUUCAGAAUGUUUGCAAAUGAAAACACCAAGUGGUGGGUUAACAUAAGUAGUCCCCAAGAGGUCAAAAAAUGUUUCCAUGGAACCAAUACACUCAGUGAGACUGGCUUGGCAGUUAUUUUUACUGUGACCCCUUGUGGGUUAGAACCUGUAAGAGUUGGGUAAAUCUCAUCCAGAGAAGUCUUUUGAGAAAUAAUGCACGUCAUGCAUAUGUACCCUAGAACUUAAAGUAUACUAAAAAAAGGAAAAAGAAAGAAAUAAUUUGCAAAAAGAGAAAAUAAAUUGUUAUCAAAAAAAGAGAGAAAUAAUGAUGCCUUGUUUUAGUAUCCCAAGAUCCCAGGAUUGAGCACUUAGUUAGGAAGGACCACUGUCUGCAGGGUAGAAAGAUGGGUUUUUGCUGCUGCUGGGUAGACAAAAAAGUUCCCUCACCCCCAAACAAAACACCUUUACCAAGGUGUCUAAAUUACUGGCUCCGUUCAGAUAUGGCCUCAAUGUCCAUGCCUCAGUUGUCAUGACAGCUGUGUGUGUGUGUGUGUGUGUGUGUGUGUGUGCGGGCACAUGCAUGUGUGUCUGCUGAAUGGUGUCUGGAAGCAGCACCUUCGGCAUCCAGGCAGAAAUAGAUGGGGUGUGCUGAACGGAGAGUGUCUACCCACUCAUUUAAGCAACAGUGUCAGAAAAGGUUGAAGAUAUCAUUCAGCAUCACAAUUUCAAUUAAACUCUCAAACAAUCAGCUAUUCCAUCAUUCAUACAUUCAAGGUUAGUGUCUUAGCAUCUAAGUUCUUAUUCUUUAUUGUACCAAUGCACACUAUGAUUCAGCAGUGUUCUGAUCCUGCUAAUACUGCUCUAUUAACCUUUUCUGCGCUAGCUUUCUAGUCUCAUCUCUUGCAGAAACCUCUAAUACUCUGUAUCCCACUCUGGAGAACCUCUUACAAAUUACAGUUUCAAGUUCCUAAGAUUUUUGUUAUGCAUCUCUAAAGAAGGCCAGCUUUUUCGAGACACAUCAUUCAACUUUGAGGUAGGAAAUCCAUUUUGUUCAUAGCUUGCAGCAUUGAGCCCAGGACUCGAUUUUUAUGAAUUUUCCAUAUCCCUGGAAGCCCUUUGACUCUUGCAUGCUAUUGGACUGCCAUUUCAUAAGUACUUCUUGCAUUGUGCUAAAUCGUCUUGUGGAAGUCAAAUAACUAACUUUCAGGACAUCAUUUCAUUAUUUCUGUGGCCCUCAGUAGCUUUGGCCCAGAGUUCCUAUUCUCAGUAUGAAAGAACUAUAAGAAAUUGACUCAAACAUUGCUGGCCGCUCCCAAACUGUUUCUCAUAUUUGUCUUGAGUCUGAGUAUUAAGAACAAGGCUAUGUCAGAAAGACAAGGAAAUCAGUGCUGCUUGAACAUAAGAAGCGAGAAGCACUGACUAAUCAUUGUCA